GGAAUAUUGCGCAAUGGUCGAAAGACUGACGCAGCGACGCCGCGUGGAGGAUGACGCCCUUCGGGGUGUAAACUCCUGUUGCUCGGGACGAAACCUCCUUUCGAGGAGACUGACGGUACCGAGUGAGGAAGCACCGGCUAACCCUGUGCCAGCAGCCGCGGUAAUACAGAGGGUGCGAGCGUUGUCCGGAAUCACUGGGCGUAAAGGGCGCGUAGGUGGCUUGGUAAGCGUGCGGUGAAAGCUCGAGGCUCAACCUCGAGUCUGCCGUGCGAACUGCCGAGCUGGAGCACGGUAGAGGCACAUGGAAUUCCGGGUGUAGCGGUGGAAUGCGUAGAGAUCCGGAAGAACACCGGUGGCGAAGGCGGUGUGCUGGGCCGUAGCUGACACUGAGGCGCGACAGCGUGGGGAGCAAAC
RNAcentral lists this ribosomal RNA (414 nucleotides) under uncultured bacterium. RNAcentral describes it as "bacterial SSU rRNA". It matches the Rfam family "Bacterial small subunit ribosomal RNA", at positions 358 to 773 of the family's 1533-position model. The record is from RNAcentral.